Molecule: RNase P RNA, 299 nt
Filed under: Metamycoplasma neophronis
Lineage: Bacteria; Bacillati; Mycoplasmatota; Mycoplasmoidales; Metamycoplasmataceae
Description: Mycoplasma neophronis RNase P RNA component class B
Rfam family: Bacterial RNase P class B
About the family: Ribonuclease P (RNase P) is a ubiquitous endoribonuclease, found in archaea, bacteria and eukarya as well as chloroplasts and mitochondria. Its best characterised activity is the generation of mature 5'-ends of tRNAs by cleaving the 5'-leader elements of precursor-tRNAs.
Source: RNAcentral
AGGCACGGCCGACUGCUGCAUCUUAUGAUGUAGAGGAAAAUCCGCUCUAGCACUCACUGUGAUGUGAGUAGUGAUCAUGCUAGACCAAAUAAGUCUAGGCACAUUUAUAUGUGACGACUAGUGCAACAGAGACGAGCUUAUUAAGUUAAGAUGCAACGAUGUAAACUCCAUGAGUUAGAAACCCAAAUUUUGGUGGGGGAACCGAGUCUAGGGAAUCGAACCGAAGCCCGGAGGUUAUUUAUUAUAACUUAGAUAAAUAGUUGGCGCUGCGCAAGCAGUACAGAAAGCGGUUUAUAGUG